CAGUAGCCACGGUAAUACGUAGGUGGCAAGCGUUGUCCGGAAUUAUUGGGCGUAAAGGGCUCGCAGGCGGUUUCUUAAGUCUGAUGUGAAAGCCACCGGCUCAACCGGGGAGGGUCAUUGGAAACUGGGAAACUUGAGUGCAGAAGAGGAGAGUGGAAUUCCACGUGUAGCGGUGAAAUGCGUAGAGAUGUGGAGGAACACCAGUGGCGAAGGCGACUCUCUGGUCUGUAACUGACGCUGAGGAGCGAAAGCGUGGGGAGCGAACAGGAUUAGAGACCCCCGUAGUCCCUGUCUCUUAUAA
This 301-nucleotide ribosomal RNA is filed under the name uncultured bacterium. RNAcentral's name for it is "partial 16S ribosomal RNA". It matches the Rfam family "Bacterial small subunit ribosomal RNA", at positions 509 to 809 of the family's 1533-position model. The record is from RNAcentral.